RNAcentral lists this ribosomal RNA (465 nucleotides) under Vreelandella stevensii. RNAcentral's name for it is "partial 16S ribosomal RNA". It matches the Rfam family "Bacterial small subunit ribosomal RNA", at positions 338 to 795 of the family's 1533-position model. Lineage: Bacteria; Pseudomonadati; Pseudomonadota; Gammaproteobacteria; Oceanospirillales; Halomonadaceae. The record is from RNAcentral.
CCUACGGGUGGCUGCAGUGGGGAAUAUUGGACAAUGGGCGAAAGCCUGAUCCAGCCAUGCCGCGUGUGUGAAGAAGGCCUUCGGGUUGUAAAGCACUUUCAGUGGGGAAGAAAGCCUUGGGGCUAAUACCCUCGAGGAAGGACAUCACCCACAGAAGAAGCACCGGCUAACUCCGUGCCAGCAGCCGCGGUAAUACGGAGGGUGCGAGCGUUAAUCGGAAUUACUGGGCGUAAAGCGCGCGUAGGCGGUCUGAUAAGCCGGUUGUGAAAGCCCCGGGCUCAACCUGGGAACGGCAUCCGGAACUGUCAGGCUAGAGUGAAGGAGAGGAAGGUAGAAUUCCCGGUGUAGCGGUGAAAUGCGUAGAGAUCGGGAGGAAUACCAGUGGCGAAGGCGGCCUUCUGGACUGACACUGACGCUGAGGUGCGAAAGCGUGGGUAGCAAACAGGAUUAGAUACCCCUGUAGUC